GACGAACGCUGGCGGCGUGCUUAACACAUGCAAGUCGAACGAAGAGCGAUGGAAGCUUGCUUCUCUCAAUCUUAGUGGCGAACGGGUGAGUAACGCGUAAUCAACCUGCCCUUCAGAGGGGGGCACCAGUUGGAAACGACUGCUAAUACCGCAUACGAUCUGACCUCGGCAUCGAGGAUAGAUGAAAGGUGGCCUCUACAUGUAAGCUAUCACUUCAGGAGGGGAUUGCGUUGGUUUAGUUAGUUGGAGGGGUAACGGCCCACCAAGGCGAGGAUCAGUAGCAGGUCGGAGAGGAUGAACGGCCACAUUGGGACUGAGACACGGCCCAGACUCCUACGGGAGGCAGCAGGGGGGAAUCGGCCGCAAUGGACGAAAGUCUGACGGAGCAACGCCGCGUGAGUGAUGACGGCCUUCGGGUUGUAAAGCUCUGUUAAUCGGGACGAAAGGCCUUUUUGCGAAUAGUGAGAAGGAUUGACGGUACCGGAAUAGAAAGCCACGGCUAACUACGUG
RNAcentral lists this ribosomal RNA (510 nucleotides) under uncultured bacterium. RNAcentral's name for it is "partial 16S ribosomal RNA". It matches the Rfam family "Bacterial small subunit ribosomal RNA", at positions 28 to 507 of the family's 1533-position model. The record is from RNAcentral.